AAUGGAUGGCGGCAAACAUUGAUCCCCUCCGUAACGGCGAGUGAGUGGGAGUGUCAAUUAAAUCCUUUUCCCGGAGUCUAAUCAAAGAAAAACGGUUAGUAAGCGGAGACAAAGUCCGCCGGAAGCACGCGCUAGAAAGGGUGAUAGCCCCGUUCAAUCUCUUAACUUGCUUAUAUAUCAUUAUUUCAACGAGUCAGGUUGCUUGGGAAUGCAGCCUAAAUUUGGUGGUAAACUCCAUCUAAAGCUAAAUAUUGAUCAGUGACCGAUAGCAAACAAGUACCGUGAGGGAAAGAUGAAAAGAACCUUGAAAAGGGGGUUAAAAGUACGUGAAAUUGUUAUUAGGAAAGCACUUAGUCUCAUUGUGGAUUAAUUCAGUCUGUUUCGGCAGAUACUGGUUUAAUUAGUUAUGAUCAGUUAAUGGUUGAUAAAGAAAAUUUUUGAUAAGGUAUUAGUGUAAUGCUAAACUUAAAGAUCAAUUACUAUUUAUCGACUUUGACUGAGGAAUGCUUCUUAAAAUUUUCUGAUUAAUAGUUUAUGGAGUUAAGUUAAACAACAUGUUGAUUAAUUUAAUUAAAGUAUUCUAUUGAUYUUAAAACUUAAGAACAGGAUCAUAAUUAAAUGAUACUAAAUGACCCGUCUUGAAACACGGACCAAGGAGUCUAACAUGAUUGCGAGUUACAGGGUGACAAACCUUUGAGCGCAAUGAAAGUGAUAAAGAUAGGAGAGGUAACACUUGCACUAUCAACCUAACCUGAUGAUUUUUUUUGACGGUUUAGAGUUAGAGCAGUUAUGUUGGGACCCGAAAGAUGGUGAGCUAUGCUUGAAUAGGGCAAAGCCAGAGGAAACUCUGGUGGAGGCUCGUAGCGAUUCUGACGUGCAAAUCGAUCGUCAAAUUUGAGCAUAGGGGCGAAAGACUAAAUCGACCCUACUAAUACC
This 936-nucleotide ribosomal RNA is filed under the name Conidiobolus polytocus. RNAcentral's name for it is "eukaryotic LSU rRNA". It matches the Rfam family "Eukaryotic large subunit ribosomal RNA", at positions 45 to 951 of the family's 3401-position model. The record is from RNAcentral. Lineage: Eukaryota; Fungi; Entomophthoromycota; Entomophthoromycetes; Entomophthorales; Conidiobolaceae.